RNAcentral lists this ribosomal RNA (253 nucleotides) under uncultured bacterium. Its description in RNAcentral is "partial 16S ribosomal RNA". It matches the Rfam family "Bacterial small subunit ribosomal RNA", at positions 524 to 776 of the family's 1533-position model. The record is from RNAcentral.
UACGUAGGGUCCGAGCGUUGUCCGGAAUUACUGGGCGUAAAGAGCUCGUAGGUGGUUUGUCGCGUUGUUCGUGAAAACUCACAGCUCAACUGUGGGCGUGCGGGCGAUACGGGCAGACUUGAGUACUGCAGGGGAGACUGGAAUUCCUGGUGUAGCGGUGGAAUGCGCAGAUAUCAGGAGGAACACCGGUGGCGAAGGCGGGUCUCUGGGCCGAAACUGACGCUGAGGAGCGAAAGCGUGGGGAGCAAACAGG